GAUGAACGCUGGCGGCGUGCCUAAUACAUGCAAGUCGAGCGAACAGAUGAGGAGCUUGCUCCUCUGACGUUAGCGGCGGACGGGUGAGUAACACGUGGAUAACCUACCUAUAAGACUGGGAUAACUUCGGGAAACCGGAGCUAAUACCGGAUAAUAUAUUGAACCGCAUGGUUCAAUAGUGAAAGACGGUUUUGCUGUCACUUAUAGAUGGAUCCGCGCCGCAUUAGCUAGUUGGUAAGGUAACGGCUUACCAAGGCAACGAUGCGUAGCCGACCUGAGAGGGUGAUAGGCCAAACUGGAACUGAGACACGGUCCAGACUCCUACGGGAGGCAGCAGUAGGGAAUCUUCCGCAAUGGGCGAAAGCCUGACGGAGCAACGCCGCGUGAGUGAUGAAGGUCUUCGGAUCGUAAAACUCUGUUAUUAGGGAAGAACAAAUGUGUAAGUAACUAUGCACGUCUUGACGGUACCUAAUCAGAAAGCCACGGCUAACUACGUG
This 497-nucleotide ribosomal RNA is filed under the name uncultured bacterium. RNAcentral describes it as "partial 16S ribosomal RNA". It matches the Rfam family "Bacterial small subunit ribosomal RNA", at positions 28 to 507 of the family's 1533-position model. The record is from RNAcentral.